RNAcentral lists this long non-coding RNA (298 nucleotides) under Arachis ipaensis. Its description in RNAcentral is "long non-coding RNA (AIPA_LNC000296)". Lineage: Eukaryota; Viridiplantae; Streptophyta; Magnoliopsida; Fabales; Fabaceae. The record is from RNAcentral.
UGCAUAGUUAAAUUACUCUUUUUGUAACAUUGAGGGCCAAGGCUGUUAUGGAUGGUGCUUCUUGUUUGAGCUUCAUUUUGUAGGUUGAGGGUUUACAUUUACUGAUUAGUCGUUGUAUAUAGUGUUGAGACGGAUUGAACAUAGAUCGGUUUGGAAGAUGUUGAUGCUCUUUUUCAGUUUUGUCGUCCAUAACUCCAUAUCAGCAAUGUACAAAUUGUUAUCAAAGGGAAAAAAUUUUUUAGUAUUUGCCGAACAGCAUGAUGGAUAAUAAACUUUUAAGCAAUGGGUAUGAAGAUUU